UGGGGAAUAUUGCACAAUGGGCGAAAGCCUGAUGCAGCAACGCCGCGUGAGUGAUGAAGGCCUUCGGGUUGUAAAGCUCUGUCUUUUGGGACGAUAAUGACGGUACCAAAGGAGGAAGCCACGGCUAACUACGUGCCAGCAGCCGCGGUAAUACGUAGGUGGCAAGCGUUGUCCGGAUUUACUGGGCGUAAAGGAUGCGUAGGCGGAUUUUUAAGUCAGAUGUGAAAUACCCGAGCUUAACUUGGGUGCUGCAUUUGAAACUGGAAGUCUAGAGUGCGGGAGAGGAGAGUGGAAUUCCUAGUGUAGCGGUGAAAUGCGUAGAUAUUAGGAGGAACACCAGUGGCGAAGGCGACUUUCUGGACUGUAACUGACGCUGAGGCACGAAAGCGUGGAGAGCAAACA
Molecule: ribosomal RNA, 402 nt
Filed under: uncultured prokaryote
Description: bacterial SSU rRNA
Rfam family: Bacterial small subunit ribosomal RNA
Source: RNAcentral